UUAAGAUACUGUUCAAAGGGUUAGAAGUGCACCCCAUAUAAAAGAUUAUACCCCAAAGAGCAUGGAGUUGAAGUGCACAAGUGGAUCCCAUAAAAUAAAAGGCAAAUGAUGAGGGAACAGUGGCUGCAAGAGAGAGACCAGGCAAAACAACUGAGCCUUAAGAAAGACCUGAAGGUCAACAGCUUGGACAGCAAGGUCCAGCAUGAAAAGCAAAGAGGAGAAAGAGAAGGAUAAACAGAGUCUUUGCAUUGGCCUGUCAG
Molecule: long non-coding RNA, 260 nt
Organism: Zonotrichia albicollis (white-throated sparrow)
Lineage: Eukaryota; Metazoa; Chordata; Aves; Passeriformes; Passerellidae
Source: RefSeq, a predicted model, not a curated record